Molecule: non-coding RNA, 3752 nt
Organism: Pelobates cultripes (western spadefoot toad)
Lineage: Eukaryota; Metazoa; Chordata; Amphibia; Anura; Pelobatidae
Source: the annotation of a GenBank genome assembly
AUCCCCCUCUUUGAGCAAUUAAUUUGCUCAUCUUAUCAAUAAAAUUUUACCAGGACAGAGAAACUUCCACAUGGUAUUUUCAGGGGUGCUAGUCACUCCCUGCGGGACUUUCAUUAAUUUCUUCACCUCGAUUCCCAUGUGGUAAUUCCUAAGGCCCAGUUUUAAAGAUGGGUUGAUAGCCUCCAGUGGCAGAGAGGAGAGUUUCCAAUUGUUUCUGUUCUGCAUUAUAGAUUAAUUUCUGUAUUCUCUUUCUCAGUGUACAAGUAAGAUGGCAGUUAUACAAAAUCAUACACAAUAAAAUCAGGACUAUAAUAACAAGAGGAUAGAAGAAUGAUUUCAUUAUCUGGGAUCCAGUAGGAGACCAACCAGUAAAAGCAUCGUACCAAUGAUGGACUAAAUCAUUCUGAAUCUGUGAACUCACCUUAAGGAGUUCUCCUUUUAGGAUAUGUGUGGCUACCUGUGUGUGUACUAGAGCAUCAUUAUGUGUAACAAGAUGUUUAAACAUAUUUUGUUUUCCUUUCAUUAAGGAGACAAUAGUCUCAAGAGGUAAAUGGUAAUCUUCAAAAGGCAGCGAGCCCAAUAGGGCAUUAACAUGUUUGUCUAAAGUGAUUGUGUUGCUGAAAUAAUAUUGGGUGCCAUUAAGAUCUAACCAGGUAAUAUUAGUCAAACAUCCUGAAAAAGGGAGAGGUAGAUUAAUACUUGUAGUGCUAGUAAUUAUCUUUGUAGGGAGAUUAGUUGCUAAACAGAUAUGUCGUGUGCUUAUUUCUGUCAUAGUAAAAUAAUUUUCAGGAUAUAUGUGCCAUAUACAUUUGUUAAGUUCAUUUUGGAGUAAACAUGGUUCGUAAAUAGAGGACGAGUGUCGACAUGCAUAUCCUUUGUCAGUGAGAACACAGUGUUUAAGGGAAUAGGUCAUAUUAUCUUUGGGAAAAAUAUAGUCCCCUGUGUAUGUGGGUGCCCACCAGGUUAAAUUCUUGGCAAAGAGAUCAUAAACUGGUACUGGUAAUGUGUUAAAUUGACAAGCUAAUUUAACAUCCUUUGAUGUUGUAUGAUAUAAUGUAAAAUAGCAUGAGCAUGAAAAAUGUGAAACAUUACCAGUUAACCAUUCAUUGCAUUUAGUGGAUUGGGGUUUCAGAAGUAACCAUUCAUUAUCUGUGAGGUUAAGCAUUCCUCUAAUCUUCUCUAAUUUAGGAAUCAUUAGUAUGUCUUCUAAUGCCGAUCUUUGGUGUUGCAUCCAUAAAUACCUGAUGGCACAAGUACUCCAAUUACUUAGACCUGUUGUGAAUUUCAUAGUUGCAACAGUUAAAUUAUCUAAAUAAUUAUACAUUGAUUUAUCUAAAUCCAAUCCUGUAACCUGUGAUUUAACAACAGUUGGAGCCCAGUUUGCAGUAGCAUGAAAACCAGUCCCUAUAUGCAUACUGGCUGUGUUUAACUUAUUCUUGAGGGUCUCCAUGUCUAUACUAUUUAGUAUACCCAUAGUGGUUCCAGCACCUCCUAACAGUGUGUCAUACCAUUCCCUUUUCUGCCUUUUGUUUGCUGUGUUACAUAAUGUUACAACAGGAGUAGUGAUUUUUAAUGACACAUGUACAGCUUGUAAGAAGACAGUUGUAUUAACACAUGUGGAUGGAAUAGGUGUGUGUGUGUCGUUGUUGACUUUUGGUUCUAUGUUAGAGGAUAAAGGACAGUAAUAAGGUGUAAAAAUAUAAGGUAGUGUAUAGUUCUCAAUUACAGUGUCAUUCAUAAUGACUAACAUUUGUCCCUUUUUCCAAUUAAUGGUACCAGUUGUAUAAUCAUUAUUAAAAGUAAUAAGGCCUGUUUGUUUACAUUGAUAUGCAACCUUACUAAUUUUCUUAUAAUAUAUAUCCCAAACCUGUUUAGAUGGUUUUCUCUUACCAUCAGAACUUAUAUUAAAUAAGGUGGCACAGAUACCAGUGUAAUUAGCAACCUUAACUGUGCACAUUUCUGUGUUAUAAGAUCUAACAAUUUUCCGUGAACCUUCAAACAAACAUAAUGCAUCGGUUUCAUUAGCUGUGGACACAUUCCAUAUGAGUAAUUGAUACUUAUAAGGGUUAUUAUUUGUCCAAUUCAUCCAAAUGCGUUCAGUGAAUGAAUGAUUGCAUAUUACAUGCUGAUAGAAAGGUGGUGGAGAAAGGUUCUUGAGGGGGCGUGUGUGACGAAUGCUAGAUGAGGGGCUAAGGCCUAAUUGGGCUGGGGGUAUUGAAGAAUUGUUCAUCAUGUCAGAGUCUUUUUUCCAGAACUUGCCAUUGACUUGUACUCAUAAUGGCAUUCAAGGAACAAUAUCAGAGGGAGUAUAACAACUCCAGAAAGCAUAGCGCACAACAUAAUCUUGGUCUCAGGUAUGUAUGAUCCUCUCAAUCUACGAUAUGGUGUAAAAGCCAUGAUGCUUCGCUGAGGAGAAAUUCUUCUGUUUCCGAGCGAGGAGUGGUGUUGUCUUCCUUGGUUCCCCUCUUUGGACACAGCUUCACUCGGGAUGCGUGAAUCCAGAUGUCGUGGGAAUCUGUGAGGACAGCGGUUCUGGUUACAGCAAUCACAGUAGCAGGUGGUCCAAAAGGGUAUCCUCCUUUCUUGGUCCUGUUCAGCUGACGGAUAUACACCUUGUCACCGGGCUGGUAUGGAUGAGUAGGUUCCUGUGAAGGUAAGGGAAACUGCGAAGAAACAUUGCCAUAUAUACCAUUCAGUUUCAUCAACAAUUCCUGUACAUAUUGUUCUUGUAUUAGCUGUAAAUCCCCAGACAUUAUAACAAGCGGUUCCCUGGCCCAGGGUGUGGGAAAAGGUCGUCCCAUCAGAAUCUCAAAUGGAGAUAAUUUAGUCACCUUGUGGGGAGUCAUUCUUAUCUCAGCUAAAAUAGCUGGUAGAUAUUUUGUCCAAUUUACCCAUGUUACUGCAGUAGCUUUCAUAAGCUUCUCCUUAAUGGUCCUAUUCAUCCUUUCAACUACCCCUGAACUCUGUGGAUGAUAGGGUAUAUGAAACUUCCAGGUAACUUGCAAGAAUUUAGCAAGUUCCUGGGUAACCUUACUGGCAAAAGCCGGGCCAUUAUCAGAGUUAAUCUGCAGAGGGCAGCCAUACCUGGGAAUAAUUUCAGUAGCAAGAAUCUUCACUACAGUCCUAGCAUCUUCCCUGGAUGUCACAAAGGCUUCGGGCCAUCUACUAAACUGAUCAACUAUGACCAGUAAGUAUUGCUGUUUCUUACCAAUUUUGGGUACGUGAGUAAAAUCAAUCUGUAAGUGUGUAAAAGGAGCAGCUGGAGGGGGCAAAUGUUCAUGCUGUGAUUUGUGUGGAAUAUUUGGAUGUGUUCUCAUACAUGGUUCACAUGAUCUUACAAAAGACUGUACAUGCUGCCUAAGAUUCCUAAUAUAAAAUGAAUUCAUGAGGAAUUGGAUGGUACUUGCUAUGCUUUUAUGGCCAGGACCAUGUGCCUGACUGAUGAAAAUAAAACAACUUGCUUCAGGUAUGCCAAUCUUCCCCUCUUUAGAGAAAAGAUCAUUCUGAUCUUUUUCUAAACCUUGUUUAAUCCAAAAAUCCAAGUCAGAUUGCGUUGCAAAGGCUUGAAGCUGCAAAAGCAAACUGUCAGUAGGGCAUGUGGGUGGUUUAAGCAUAGCAGGAAACAUUUUAAAGUAAACAAUCUUGGCUGCAGCUUCUUUUGCUACUUUGUCAGCCAAGGCAUUUCCUCUUGAAAUGUCAUCACUACCAAGAGUGUGUGCCUUGCAGUGGAUAAUAGCUACUUCAGAUGGUAG